Molecule: ribosomal RNA, 508 nt
Filed under: Bacillaceae bacterium CL5.118
Lineage: Bacteria; Bacillati; Bacillota; Bacilli; Caryophanales; Bacillaceae
Description: bacterial SSU rRNA
Rfam family: Bacterial small subunit ribosomal RNA
Source: RNAcentral
UUGAGCUUGAUCCCUGGCUCAGGACGAACGCUGGCGGCGUGCCUAAUACAUGCAAGUCGAGCGGACUUGUAGGAGCUUGCUCCUGCAGGUUAGCGGCGGACGGGUGAGUAACACGUGGGCAACCUACCUAUAAGACUGGGAUAACUUCGGGAAACCGGAGCUAAUACCGGAUGACACAAAGGAACUCCUGUUCCUUUGUUGAAAGAUGGCUUCGGCUAUCACUUAUAGAUGGGCCCGCGGCGCAUUAGCUAGUUGGUGAGGUAACGGCUCACCAAGGCGACGAUGCGUAGCCGACCUGAGAGGGUGAUCGGCCACACUGGGACUGAGACACGGCCCAGACUCCUACGGGAGGCAGCAGUAGGGAAUCUUCCGCAAUGGACGAAAGUCUGACGGAGCAACGCCGCGUGAACGAUGAAGGCCUUCGGGUCGUAAAGUUCUGUUGUUAGGGAAGAACAAGUGCUAGUUGAAUAAGCUGGCACCUUGACGGUACCUAACCAGAAAGCCACGG